RNAcentral lists this ribosomal RNA (460 nucleotides) under uncultured bacterium. Its description in RNAcentral is "partial 16S ribosomal RNA". It matches the Rfam family "Bacterial small subunit ribosomal RNA", at positions 338 to 795 of the family's 1533-position model. The record is from RNAcentral.
CCUACGGGAGGCUGCAGUGAGGAAUAUUGGUCAAUGGACGAGAGUCUGAACCAGCCAAGUAGCGUGAAGGAUGACUGCCCUAUGGGUUGUAAACUUCUUUUAUAAAGGAAUAAAACGAGGCACGUGUGCCUUUUUUCAUGUCCUUUAUGAAUAAGGAUCGGCUAACUCCGUGCCAGCAGCCGCGGUAAUACGGAGGAUCCGAGCGUUAUCCGGAUUUAUUGGGUUUAAAGGGAGCGUAGAUGGGUUGUUAAGUCAGUUGUGAAAGUUUGCGGGUCAACCGUAAAAUUGCAAUUGAUACUGGCAGUCUUGAGUACAGUUGAGGUAGGCGGAAUUCGUGGUGUAGCGGUGAAAUGCUUAGAUAUCACGAAGAACCCCGAUUGCGAAGGCAGCUUACUAAACUGUGACUGACAUUGAUGCUCGAAAGUGUGGGUAUCAAACAGGAUUAGAUACCCUAGUAGUC